Molecule: ribosomal RNA, 433 nt
Filed under: uncultured organism
Description: bacterial SSU rRNA
Rfam family: Bacterial small subunit ribosomal RNA
Source: RNAcentral
AACGAACGCUGGCGGCAUGCCUAACACAUGCAAGUCGAACGAUCCCUUCGGGGAUAGUGGCGCACGGGUGCGUAACGCGUGGGAAUCUGCCCUUGGGUUCGGAAUAACAGUGAGAAAUUACUGCUAAUACCGGAUGAUGUCUUCGGACCAAAGAUUUAUCGCCCAAGGAUGAGCCCGCGUAGGAUUAGCUAGUUGGUGGGGUAAUGGCCUACCAAGGCGACGAUCCUUAGCUGGUCUGAGAGGAUGAUCAGCCACACUGGGACUGAGACACGGCCCAGACUCCUACGGGAGGCAGCAGUGGGGAAUAUUGGACAAUGGGCGAAAGCCUGAUCCAGCAAUGCCGCGUGAGUGAUGAAGGCCUUAGGGUUGUAAAGCUCUUUUACCCGGGAUGAUAAUGACAGUACCGGGAGAAUAAGCUCCGGCUAACUCCGUG